Molecule: ribosomal RNA, 428 nt
Filed under: uncultured bacterium
Lineage: Bacteria
Description: partial 16S ribosomal RNA
Rfam family: Bacterial small subunit ribosomal RNA
Source: RNAcentral
GUGGGGAAUAUUGGGCAAUGGGGGCAACCCUGACCCAGCAACGCCGCGUGAGGGAAGAAGGUUUUCGGAUUGUAAACCUCUGUCCUAUGGGAAGAAGGAAGUGACGGUACCAUAGGAGGAAGCCCCGGCUAACUACGUGCCAGCAGCCGCGGUAAUACGUAGGGGGCGAGCGUUGUCCGGAAUUACUGGGCGUAAAGGGUGCGCAGGUGGCCUGACAAGUCAGAUGUGAAAUACCGAUGCUUAACGUCGGGGCUGCAUUUGAAACUAUGAGGCUGGAGUGCAGGAGAGGGAAGCGGAAUUCCUAGUGUAGCGGUGAAAUGCAUAGAUAUUAGGAGGAACACCAGUGGCGAAGGCGGCUUUCUGGACUGUAACUGACACUGAGGCACGAAAGCGUGGGGAGCAAACAGGAUUAGAUACCCUUGUAGUCC